CAGCCCGCUCCCGGUAAAACGGGACGGCCCGCCAGAGGACCCCUAAACUCUGUUUCUAUAUGUAACUUCUGAGUAAAACCAUAAAUAAAUCAAAACUUUCAACAACGGAUCUCUUGGUUCUGGCAUCGAUGAAGAACGCAGCAAAAUGCGAUAAGUAAUGUGAAUUGCAGAAUUCAGUGAAUCAUCGAAUCUUUGAACGCACAUUGCGCCCGCCAGUAUUCUGGCGGCAUGCCUGUUCGAGCGUCAUUUCAACCCUCAAGCACAGCUUGGUGUUGGGACUCGCGUUAAUUCGCGUUCCCCAAAUUGAUUGGCGGUCACGUCGAGCUUCCAUAGCGUAGUAGUAAAACCCUCGUUACUGGUAAUCGUCGCGGCCACGCCGUUAAACCCCAACUUCUGAAUGUUGACCUCGGAUCAGGUAGGAAUACCCGCUGAACUUAAGC
This 440-nucleotide ribosomal RNA is filed under the name Fusarium oxysporum. RNAcentral describes it as "eukaryotic LSU rRNA". The stretch from base 94 to 246 matches the Rfam family "5.8S ribosomal RNA". Lineage: Eukaryota; Fungi; Ascomycota; Sordariomycetes; Hypocreales; Nectriaceae. The record is from RNAcentral.